ACGGGGGGAGCAAGCGUUGUUCGGAAUCAUUGGGCGUAAAGGGCGCGCAGGCGGUCAGGUAAGUGAGAUGUGAAAUGCCUCGGCUUAACCCGGGAAGGGCAUUUGAUACUGCAUAGCUAGAGUAUGGGAGAGGAAAGUGGAAUUCCUGGUGUAGAGGUGAAAUUCGUAGAUAUUAGGCGGAACAGCGAUGGCGAAGGCGACUUACUGGGCCGAUACUGACGCUGAGGCGCGAAAGUGUGUGGAUCAAACAG
This 251-nucleotide ribosomal RNA is filed under the name uncultured prokaryote. RNAcentral's name for it is "partial 16S rRNA". It matches the Rfam family "Bacterial small subunit ribosomal RNA", at positions 525 to 775 of the family's 1533-position model. The record is from RNAcentral.